RNAcentral lists this ribosomal RNA (300 nucleotides) under uncultured Alphaproteobacteria bacterium. RNAcentral describes it as "bacterial SSU rRNA". It matches the Rfam family "Bacterial small subunit ribosomal RNA", at positions 114 to 430 of the family's 1533-position model. Lineage: Bacteria; Pseudomonadati; Pseudomonadota; Alphaproteobacteria. The record is from RNAcentral.
CGCGUGGGAACGUACCCUUUCCUACGGAAUAGCCUUUGGAAACGAAGAGUAAUACCGUAUACGCCCUUGGGGGGAAAGAUUUAUCGGAGAAGGAUCGGCCCGCGUUAGAUUAGAUAGUUGGUGGGGUAACGGCCUACCAAGUCUACGAUCUAUAGCUGGUUUUAGAGGAUGAUCAGCAACACUGGGACUGAGACACGGCCCAGACUCCUACGGGAGGCAGCAGUGGGGAAUAUUGCACAAUGGGGGAAACCCUGAUGCAGCCAUGCCGCGUGUGUGAAAGAAGGCCCUCCGGUUGUAAAG